AGAUUAGGUUGUUGGUAAUUUAGUAGCUUACCAAGCCUUUGAUCUUUAGUUGGUCUUAGAGGAUGAUCAACCACACUGGAACUGAAAUAAGGUCCAGGCUGACAUGUCGGCCAGCAGUGAGGAAUAUUGGACAAUGAACGAAAGUUUGAUCCAGCAAUACUAACUGGGUGAUGACGGCUUAUUUAAGUUGUAAGAUCCUUUAAUUAAAGAAGAUAAUGACAUUAUUUAAUUGAAUUAGUCCUGGCUAAUACUCGUGCCAGCAGCCGCGGUAAUACGGGAAGGGCAAGCGUUAUCCGGCAUGACUGGGCGUAAAGAGUCCGUAGACUGUAAAGUAAGUUUUUUGUCAAAUUUUAAAACUCAAUUUUAAAACAGCAAUUAAUACUACUUUACUUUGAGUUUAAUACAGAAAAGUAGAAUUUUAUACGAAGGAGUGAAAUCUGUAGAUAUAUAAAGGAAUGCCAGUAGCGAAGGCGACUUUUUGGUGUAAACUGACGUUGAGGGACGAAAGUGUGGGUAGCAAACAGGAUUAGAGACCCUGGUAGUCCACACCGUAAAUUCUGAGUGCUGUAAUUUAAUUGUAAUAUUUUAAAUAUUAUUUAGAUUUUCAAGCUAACGCAAUAAGCACUCCGCCUGAAGAGUACGAUCGCAAGAUUGGAACUCAAAGGAAUUGACGGGGGUCUAACACUAGUGGUGGAGCAUGUGGUUUAAUGCGAUAAUCCGCGCAGAACCUUACCAAUUCUUGACAUA
Molecule: ribosomal RNA, 747 nt
Filed under: uncultured organism
Description: bacterial SSU rRNA
Rfam family: Bacterial small subunit ribosomal RNA
Source: RNAcentral